UACGGAGGGGGCAAGCGUUGUCCGGAUUUAUUGGGCUUAAAGGGCGCGUAGGCGGGGUCUCAAGUCUGGUUUGAAAGUUAGCUGCUCAACAGUUAGACGUGGCUGGAAACUGGGAUUCUGGAAUGGGUUGGCGGCUGCCGGAACGGGUCAUGUAGCGGUGAAAUGCAUAGAUAUGAGGCAGAACACCGAUUGCGAAGGCAGGCAGCUACGACGUGAUUGACACUGAGGCACGAGAGCAUGGGUAGCGAACAGG
Molecule: ribosomal RNA, 253 nt
Filed under: uncultured bacterium
Lineage: Bacteria
Description: partial 16S ribosomal RNA
Rfam family: Bacterial small subunit ribosomal RNA
Source: RNAcentral